UGGGGUUUUCCCCCCCUUAGUGUUCAGAUAACCAUUAAGCACUCCGCCGGGGAGUACGUUCGCAAGAUGAAAUUCAAAGGAAUUGCGGGGCCCGCACAAGCGGUGGAGCAUGUGUUUAAUUUGAAGCAACGCGAAGAACCUUACCAGGUCUUGACAUCUUCUGACAACCCUAGAGAUAGGGCUUUCCCUUCGGGGACAGAGUGACAGGUGGUGCAUGGUUGUCGUCAGCUCGUGUCGUGAGAUGUUGGGUUAAGUCCCGCAACGAGCGCAACCCUUGAUCUUAGUUGCCAGCAUUCAGUUGGGCACUCUAAGGUGACUGCCGGUGACAAACCGGAGGAAGGUGGGGAUGACGUCAAAUCAUCAUGCCCCUUAUGACCUGGGCUACACACGUGCUACAAUGGACAGAACAAAGGGCUGCGAGACCGCAAGGUUUAGCCAAUCCCACAAAUCUGUUCUCAGUUCGGAUCGCAGUCUGCAACUCGACUGCGUGAAGCUGGAAUCGCUAGUAAUCGCGGAUCAGCAUGCCGCGGUGAAUACGUUCCCGGGCCUUGUACACACCGCCCGUCACACCACGAGAGUUUGCAACACCCGAAGUCGGUGAGGUAACCUUUAUGGAGCCAGCCGCCGAAGGUGGGGCAGAUGAUUGGGGUGAAGUCGUAACAAGGUAGCCGUUCGAAUGU
This 680-nucleotide ribosomal RNA is filed under the name Bacillus pumilus. Its description in RNAcentral is "bacterial SSU rRNA". It matches the Rfam family "Bacterial small subunit ribosomal RNA", at positions 825 to 1513 of the family's 1533-position model. The record is from RNAcentral. Lineage: Bacteria; Bacillati; Bacillota; Bacilli; Caryophanales; Bacillaceae.